Molecule: ribosomal RNA, 253 nt
Filed under: uncultured bacterium
Lineage: Bacteria
Description: partial 16S ribosomal RNA
Rfam family: Bacterial small subunit ribosomal RNA
Source: RNAcentral
UACGGGGGGAGCAAGCGUUGUUCGGAUUUACUGGGCGUAAAGGGCGCGUAGGCGGUAGCACAAGUCAGUUGUGAAAUCUCCGGGCUUAACUCGGAAAGGUCAACUGAUACUGUGCGACUAGAGUGCAGAAGGGGCAACUGGAAUUCUCGGUGUAGCGGUGAAAUGCGUAGAUAUCGAGAGGAACACCUGCGGCGAAGGCGGGUUGCUGGGCUGACACUGACGCUGAGGCGCGAAAGCUAGGGGAGCAAACGGG